GCCCGGAUGGUCUAGUGGUAAGUUCGCCGAAGUAACCUUAAAGCAAAUCAACAUCCUCUAACAGUCAGAAUAGGUAGGAUUCGCCCUUCGGGUUAAGAUUCUCGGAUCCUUCAAAGAUCCUGAAUUGGGCGAGGUCCCCGGUUCAAUCCCGGGUUCGGGCC
Non-coding RNA from Aspergillus steynii IBT 23096, 161 nucleotides. Lineage: Eukaryota; Fungi; Ascomycota; Eurotiomycetes; Eurotiales; Aspergillaceae. The record is from the annotation of a RefSeq genome assembly.